GAUGAACGCUGGCGGCGUGCUUAACACAUGCAAGUCGAACGAAGCACUUUAACCUGAUUCUUCGGAUGAAGGGUUUUGUGACUGAGUGGCGGACGGGUGAGUAACGCGUGGGUAACCUGCCUCAUACAGGGGGAUAACAGUUAGAAAUGACUGCUAAUACCGCAUAAGACCACAGAGCCGCAUGGCUCGGUGGGAAAAACUCCGGUGGUAUGAGAUGGACCCGCGUCUGAUUAGGUAGUUGGUGGGGUAACGGCCUACCAAGGCAACGAUCAGUAGCCGACCUGAGAGGCUGACCGGCCACAUUGGGACUGAGACACGGCCCAAACUCCUACGGGAGGCAGCAGUGGGGAAUAUUGCACAAUGGGGGAAACCCUGAUGCAGCGACGCCGCGUGAGCGAAGAAGUAUUUCGGUAUGUAAAGCUCUAUCAGCAGGGAAGAAAAUGACGGUACCUGACUAAGAAGCACCGGCUAAAUACGUG
Molecule: ribosomal RNA, 479 nt
Filed under: uncultured bacterium
Lineage: Bacteria
Description: partial 16S ribosomal RNA
Rfam family: Bacterial small subunit ribosomal RNA
Source: RNAcentral